Molecule: non-coding RNA, 199 nt
Filed under: Citrobacter sedlakii
Lineage: Bacteria; Pseudomonadati; Pseudomonadota; Gammaproteobacteria; Enterobacterales; Enterobacteriaceae
Description: FMN riboswitch (RFN element)
Rfam family: FMN riboswitch aptamer (RFN element)
About the family: The RFN element is a highly conserved domain that is found frequently in the 5'-untranslated regions of prokaryotic mRNAs that encode for flavin mononucleotide (FMN) biosynthesis and transport proteins.
Source: RNAcentral
UAUUCUCAGGGCGGGGUGAAAUUCCCCACCGGCGGUAAAUCAGCGAUGUUCAUCAUUUUUCGCGUUGCAGUUUAUCCUGCAGCGGCGUGAAAGUUGAAGUACCGGCUGAAAGCCCGCGAGCGCUUCAGAUGCGAAUCUGAAGGUCAGCAGAUCCGGUGUAAUUCCGGGGCCGACGGUUAAAGUCCGGAUGGGAGAGAGU